AUCCAGCUGACGAGUCCAAAGUAAAACGGAACGAGCGUCCUGGAU
Molecule: non-coding RNA, 45 nt
Filed under: Schistosoma margrebowiei
Lineage: Eukaryota; Metazoa; Platyhelminthes; Trematoda; Strigeidida; Schistosomatidae
Source: RNAcentral